GAUGAAGAACGCAGCGAAAUGCGAUAAGUAGUGUGAAUUGCAGAAUUCAGUGAAUCAUCGAAUCUUUGAACGCACAUUGCGCCCCUUGGUAUUCCAUGGGGCAUGCCUGUUCGAGCGUCAUUUGUACCUUCAAGCUCUGCUUGGUGUUGGGUGUUUGUCUCGCCUCUGCGUGUAGACUCGCCUCAAAACAAUUGGCAGCCGGCGUAUUGAUUUCGGAGCGCAGUACAUCUCGCGCUUUGCACUCAUAACGACGACGUCCAAAAGUACAUUUUUACACUCUUGACCUCGGAUCAGGUAGGGAUACCCGCUGAACUUAAGCAUAUCAAUAGCGGAGGA
This 336-nucleotide unclassified non-coding RNA is filed under the name soil metagenome. RNAcentral describes it as "partial contains 5.8S ribosomal RNA, internal transcribed spacer 2, and large subunit ribosomal RNA". The stretch from base 1 to 120 matches the Rfam family "5.8S ribosomal RNA", at positions 35 to 154 of the family's 154-position model. The record is from RNAcentral.